Molecule: ribosomal RNA, 575 nt
Filed under: Ramariopsis bispora
Lineage: Eukaryota; Fungi; Basidiomycota; Agaricomycetes; Agaricales; Clavariaceae
Description: Ramariopsis kunzei var. bispora eukaryotic LSU rRNA
Rfam family: Eukaryotic large subunit ribosomal RNA
Source: RNAcentral
AGGGAAGAGCUCAAAUUUAAAAUCUGGCUGCUCUUGCGGCGGUCCGAGUUGUAGUUUAGAGAAGUGCUAUCCGCGCUGGCCUGUGCAAAAGUUUCUUGGAAAAGAACAUCAUAGAGGGUGACAAUCCCGUCUUUGGCACGGACUACCAGGGCUUUUGUGAUGCGCUCUCGACGAGUCGUGUUGUUUGGGAAUGCAGCACUAAAUGGGUGGUAAAUUCCAUCUAAAGCUAAAUAUUGGCGAGAGACCGAUAGCGAACAAGUACCGUGAGGGAAAGAUGAAAAGAACUUUGAAAAGAGAGUUAAACAGUACGUGAAAUUGUUGAAAGGGAAACGCUUGAAGUCAGUCGCGUCUUCCAGGGAUCAAGUUGCCUCCGGGUGACCGCACUUUCUGGUUGAUGGGUCAGCAUCAAUUUUGACCGUCGGACAAAGGCCUGGGGAAUGUGGCAUCUUCGGAUGUGUUAUAGACCCGGGUCGGAUACGAUGGUUGGGAUUGAGGAACUCAGUGUGCCUUCAUGGUUGGGGCUUCUGCUCACACCGCACGCUUAGGAUGCUGGCAUAAUGGCUUUAAUCGACCCG